GAUGAACGCUAGCGAUAGGCUUAACACAUGCAAGUCGCGGGGCAGCACAAGGUAUCUUUCUAUCUGGGUGGCGACCGGCGCGCGGGUGCGUAACGCGUAUGCAACUUGCACUAUACAGGUGGAUAACCCGUCGAAAGACGGACUAAUACUGCGUAUGCUCACAACUUGGCAUCAAGUGGUGAGGAAAGAAAUUCAGUAUAGGAUAGGCAUGCGUCCCAUUAGCUUGUUGGUGAGGUAACGGCUCACCAAGGCAACGAUGGGUAGGGGAACUGAGAGGUUUAUCCCCCACACUGGUACUGAGACACGGACCAGACUCCUACGGGAGGCAGCAGUGAGGAAGAUUGUUCAAUGGGCGCGAGCCUGAACCAGCCAAGUCGAGUGAAGCACUACUCUCUGCUGUAUGUUAAUCUUUUUGUUGACAAGAAAGACUCUCAUUUCGGGCGUCUCCCUGCAUGUACCGAAUGAAGAAGCAACGGCUAAAUUCGUU
RNAcentral lists this ribosomal RNA (487 nucleotides) under uncultured bacterium. Its description in RNAcentral is "partial 16S ribosomal RNA". It matches the Rfam family "Bacterial small subunit ribosomal RNA", at positions 28 to 507 of the family's 1533-position model. The record is from RNAcentral.